This 274-nucleotide ribosomal RNA is filed under the name uncultured bacterium. RNAcentral describes it as "partial 16S ribosomal RNA". It matches the Rfam family "Bacterial small subunit ribosomal RNA", at positions 523 to 796 of the family's 1533-position model. The record is from RNAcentral.
AUACGGAGGGUGCAAGCGUUGUUCGGAAUUACUGGGCGUAAAGCGCGUGAAGGCGGCCGACUAAGUCUGGUGUGAAAGCCCGGGGCUCACCCCCGGAAGAGCAUUGGAAACUGGACGGCUAGAGUACCGGAGAGGAGGGUGGAAUUCCUGGUGUAGCGGUGAAAUGCGUAGAUAUCAGGAAGAACACCAGUGGCGAAGGCGGCCCUCUGGACGGAUACUGACGCUGAGACGCGAAAGCGUGGGGAGCAAACAGGAUUAGAAACCCCAGUAGUCC